Molecule: non-coding RNA, 757 nt
Organism: Drosophila melanogaster (fruit fly)
Lineage: Eukaryota; Metazoa; Arthropoda; Insecta; Diptera; Drosophilidae
Source: Ensembl
GCAAAUGCGGAUCGCCUGGGCUGACGGACCAACUGCGAAUGAAACGGGAAGCUAAGGCUGGCAGAGCCAGCAGCGAACAGACCGCCAAUUACGAAAGUGAAGCUGCCAAGGAGAGGUCCUUUUUUGCAGUCAAUUUGACAGGAGGGCGAGCCAAGCCAAAGGCAGUAGCCACCCCCACCCGCAAUCCCACUCCCAUUCACUCCCCCCCGCAGCAAAGCCACAAACGGAAAGGCGAAAAACCCAGUUGAGAUGGGAAAAUGAAAAGCGGCGAGCGCCGAGAAUCGAGAGUCGAGAGCCGAGAACCCAGAAACGAACAAAAACAAACAGAACAAAAAAAAGAAGACCAAACGAAAGUCGAAAAUUUACGAAAAGCUACCAAAUGUUACAUUUCAUCCCCUGAUAGUGGACCAAAAGCGACCGACCAGCCCAGCCACCCAAGCACCCAUGCACCCACCCACUGACUCUCCCAUGUCGGCGUGAAGUCCUCGAAGAGAGUGCGAAAGAGAGCCGAGGGAGGAGAGCGAGGAGUGCCGGGUAACCAACCGGAAAACGCCCUUUUUUCACUGCCCCGGCCUGAUGCGAUUACAGCAAAUGAGGGGACUUCCUGCCGUCCACCAUUUUUGUUUUUUCCCACUCACCGACACACACACACACCAACCCACUCACCAACACACUCGCCAUUCAACCAGCUGAAAACGCACACUAGCGCAGUGGCGCUCGGCACGCACACUGGCGCACAUAUCCUGUGGCUUUCGAC